AUGUUUCUUCCAAAAUUACCUCCAAAAGAUGAUGAUGAAACCUCUAACAGAUCGUUAGAUGAGGAUGAAGUUGAUGAGAUGCCUCACUGUGUAUCACCUGAUAUCAGCGACUUUGAUAUCAGUGAUUUUGACUCCUCUUCUGAUUCAAGUACUCACAUACUGGAAGAUGUUACUGAGAAUAAUAAAUCAUGUGCAAAAAGGAGGAGAGUUUCUUUUGGAGCCCCUCUGAGACCCGAAUUAUUUGAUGAAAAUUUACCUCCCAAUACACCUCUUGCAAAAGGAGAAAGCCCAGAGACGACCAAAACAGCAUCCACAACCUGUGUCCCAAGAAAGUCAAUAAUGAAGGUACAAUAUUUUAGACAAGCAUUUAAUCUGUCUGUAGUUUAAAUUAUGCAUUUCUCUACGAUCCAUACCCUAACUGCAUUUUUAACAAGUAGUGGUAUAUAUUAUCCUAUCUUCAAAAAUGAUUUCCUAUUGAAUAUCUUUUUAAAUGGAGAGAGUUCAGUUAUUUGUUGUUAUGUUGGCUUCUCAUACACUAGCGACUCAAGGUAUUCCAGCCUAUAAGGGGAGCAUCAGGUCUUGCCAUAGUGCCCUGAGUUUCUCUAGGUCUGCUAUGGUUAUUGCAGUGUUUAAAAAAAAGCUGAGACAUAAAAUCUCAUUUAACAUUUCCCAUCAUACAUAGCAUGUGAUUCAGAAAAUAAGCAAAACCUUUUUUUGCCCAUUAUACACUCUGCCUUAAUCAGACCCUAAACUUGCAAGACCUCAGAGCAUCAAAGGGAGGUGACGUGUACACUGUAGGGCCCUCAGACUCUAAACAUGUUCAGCUUCUGCUUUGUGCUGCUGCUAUUAGUUUUAUACUUAGGGGGGGCAAGUCAUAUAGUCCCUAUUUCCUAGGGUCAUUGGGAAAAGAGAAAGUUCUUUGCUACCCUGACAAGUGCUGCUAGGUAAAGAAAUGAAUCCUUUGCCAAACAACACUCCUAACAGUAUGCCCCUGUAGUUAUGGUUGCUGCCACUGGGUGGUGGUAGACAGUAAAUCUGCAGCACUGAGCUCUAGUAGUGAUGGAAAACUCCCUUCAUGCUUUUCGAGCUGAUGGCAGGGGUCCCAUCUACAGCAAACCAGUGAACUUGCCAGCAUUCCUAACAAGUGGCCAGACAGGCUUUGUCUGAGGACCUCAUCUACCUCCAAUUGCCUUGGGGAAGCAAUCCUUUCCAACUUUGGGGUAGCGUAGCUUUUAUUGGUAGGAAGGCAAGGCCUAAACUAACAUUCUCAGGACCAAUGGUGGCUGGCAUCAUUGUUAUACAGAGACAUACAUGUUGCUAUAUCCAUCU
This 1329-nucleotide long non-coding RNA is filed under the name Phascolarctos cinereus (koala). Its description in RNAcentral is "lncRNA (ENSPCIG00000036002.1)". Lineage: Eukaryota; Metazoa; Chordata; Mammalia; Diprotodontia; Phascolarctidae. The record is from RNAcentral.